RNAcentral lists this ribosomal RNA (980 nucleotides) under Corynebacterium sanguinis. RNAcentral describes it as "bacterial SSU rRNA". It matches the Rfam family "Bacterial small subunit ribosomal RNA", at positions 1 to 992 of the family's 1533-position model. The record is from RNAcentral. Lineage: Bacteria; Bacillati; Actinomycetota; Actinomycetes; Mycobacteriales; Corynebacteriaceae.
UUUGUGGAGAGUUUGAUCCUGGCUCAGGAUGAACGCUGGCGGCGUGCUUAACACAUGCAAGUCGAACGGAAAGGCCACAGCUUGCUGUGGUACUCGAGUGGCGAACGGGUGAGUAACACGUGGGUGAUCUGCCCUGUACUUCGGGAUAAGCUUGGGAAACUGGGUCUAAUACCGGAUAGGAAUCACAUGUGGGUGUGUGGUUGGAAAGCUUUUGCGGUAUGGGAUGAGCUCGCGGCCUAUCAGCUUGUUGGUGGGGUAAUGGCCUACCAAGGCGUCGACGGGUAGCCGGCCUGAGAGGGUGUACGGCCACAUUGGGACUGAGAUACGGCCCAGACUCCUACGGGAGGCAGCAGUGGGGAAUAUUGCACAAUGGGCGCAAGCCUGAUGCAGCGACGCCGCGUGGGGGAUGACGGCCUUCGGGUUGUAAACUCCUUUCGUCAGGGACGAAGCGAAAGUGACGGUACCUGGAUAAGAAGCACCGGCUAACUACGUGCCAGCAGCCGCGGUAAUACGUAGGGUGCGAGCGUUGUCCGGAAUUACUGGGCGUAAAGAGCUCGUAGGUGGUUUGUCGCGUCGUUUGUGUAAGUCCACGGCUUAACUGUGGGAUGGCAGGCGAUACGGGCAUAACUUGAGUGCUGUAGGGGAGACUGGAAUUCCUGGUGUAGCGGUGAAAUGCGCAGAUAUCAGGAGGAACACCGAUGGCGAAGGCAGGUCUCUGGGCAGUAACUGACGCUGAGGAGCGAAAGCAUGGGUAGCGAACAGGAUUAGAUACCCUGGUAGUCCAUGCCGUAAACGGUGGGCGCUAGGUGUGAGUCCCUUCCACGGGGUUCGUGCCGUAGCUAACGCAUUAAGCGCCCCGCCUGGGGAGUACGGCCGCAAGGCUAAAACUCAAAGGAAUUGACGGGGGCCCGCACAAGCGGCGGAGCAUGUGGAUUAAUUCGAUGCAACGCGAAGAACCUUACCUGGGCUUGACAUACACC